GACGAACGCUGGCGGCGUGCUUAACACAUGCAAGUCGAACGGAAAGGCCCUGCUUUUGUGGGGUGCUCGAGUGGCGAACGGGUGAGUAACACGUGAGUAACCUGCCCUUGACUUUGGGAUAACUUCAGGAAACUGGGGCUAAUACCGGAUAGGAGCUCCUGCUGCAUGGUGGGGGUUGGAAAGUUUCGGCGGUUGGGGAUGGACUCGCGGCUUAUCAGCUUGUUGGUGGGGUAGUGGCUUACCAAGGCUUUGACGGGUAGCCGGCCUGAGAGGGUGACCGGCCACAUUGGGACCGGGGUCCGGCCCGGACCCCUUCGGGGGGCAGGGGGGGGGAAUAUUGCCAAAGGGGCGGAAGCCUGGUGGAGGAACGCCGGGUGGGGGAUGACGGCCUUCGGGUUGUAAACCCCUUUCGCCUGUAACGAAGGGGGAGGAAGGGAAAGGGGUAAAAAAGCCCCGGCUACCUACGG
This 467-nucleotide ribosomal RNA is filed under the name uncultured bacterium. RNAcentral describes it as "partial 16S ribosomal RNA". It matches the Rfam family "Bacterial small subunit ribosomal RNA", at positions 28 to 506 of the family's 1533-position model. The record is from RNAcentral.